GUGUCAGCAGCCGCGGUAAUACGUAGGGUGCAAACGUUGUUCGGAAUCACUGGGCAUAAAGGGCGCGUAGGCGGUCUGAUAAGUCAGGUGUGAAAUCCCUCGGCCUAACCGAGGAACUGCAUUUGAUACUGUCGGGCUAGAGUACAGGAGGGGAGAGUGGAAUUCCUGGUGGAGCGGUGAAAUGCGUAGAUAUCAGGAGGAACGCCGGCGGCGAAAGCGACUCUCUGGCCUGUUACUGACGCUGAGGCGCGAAAGCUAGGGGAGCAAACGGGAUUAGAUACCCUAGUAGUCC
RNAcentral lists this ribosomal RNA (292 nucleotides) under uncultured bacterium. RNAcentral describes it as "partial 16S ribosomal RNA". It matches the Rfam family "Bacterial small subunit ribosomal RNA", at positions 505 to 796 of the family's 1533-position model. The record is from RNAcentral.